RNAcentral lists this ribosomal RNA (258 nucleotides) under uncultured bacterium. RNAcentral's name for it is "partial 16S ribosomal RNA". It matches the Rfam family "Bacterial small subunit ribosomal RNA", at positions 524 to 776 of the family's 1533-position model. The record is from RNAcentral.
UACAGAGGGUGCGAGCGUUAAUCGGAAUUACUGGGCGUAAAGCGCGCGUAGGCGGCUUUGCAAGUCGAUUGUGAAAUCCCCAGGCUUAACCUGGGAACUGCAUUCGAGACUGCAUAGCUAGAGUAUGGGAGAGGGAAGUGGAAUUUCAGGUGUAGCGGUGAAAAUGCGUAGAUAUCAGGAGGAACACCUGUGGCGAAAGCGGCUCACUGGACCACAACUGACGCUGAUGCGCGAAAAGCUAGGGGGGAGCAAAACAGG